Non-coding RNA from Caenorhabditis elegans, 93 nucleotides. The record is from Ensembl. NCBI's taxonomy places the organism in Eukaryota, Metazoa, Nematoda, Chromadorea, Rhabditida, Rhabditidae.
UGGAGAGCUCUUCUCAGUCUACAGAGACACUAAAUACUUUCCACGAGAAUUUGUGAUUCGUCGAAUUCUCGAAAUUGGUUCAGGCGGUGUUAU